Molecule: non-coding RNA, 24 nt
Filed under: Rattus norvegicus (Norway rat)
Lineage: Eukaryota; Metazoa; Chordata; Mammalia; Rodentia; Muridae
Source: RNAcentral
AUGAAACAGGUUUCCUCAGAUAGA